GCAGUGUGUAAUGUAAAAUUCUUCUUGGUAAUCCCCAAAAGUUUGCACAUUUAAGGUUUAUUUAGCACUGCCUAACCGUUUUUGGGGCUUGUAAUUUUCCCAGCAGAUGGCCAUGACAUGCAUCCUGUGCUGCAAACAUGGUUGCCACGACGACGUUGGCAUGUUCAGUGAUCUUGCUGUUUACAUGAAAAGACGAGCUACGGGCACGAAGAAAACUCAUUUCUUCUUCUGUUUUCAGGCGCAGACCUCACACAUCUCCUCUGACAACGACUCCGAACACGACCGAACAGACCCGGGAGGCAGCGGGCCGCUCAUCAAAGCAGAAAGGGUUCUGAAACAGCAGAGCAGAGCCACAUCGUCAGGACUUCAGCAAAACUCUCCUGCUCUGCUGGAUUCCACACCUGCUGUCAGGUUCAGCAGCUGCUGGAGUUUGAGCACAGUGUCCUGCUGCAGCCCGUCUGGUCUCCACCUGCAGGAAGAUGUUGGAAAGUUUCCCCUAAUCUGGUUGGUGCAUCUGAACACCAUUAUGCCGCCAUCUGCAUCACAAUGGCCUCCUAAUCCACAAGAAGCCUCCCGAAUUAACCGCAGAGUAGGUUACAUGCAAGCUGUCGGUGUUACAUGUUGGAGGAAUGCUCUUUACAUGUUUACCUUUUGUUUUCAUGCAAAGCAUCAUGGGAUGUCUGUUAUUGGGCGCGCUGUGGUGCUGCUUUUUGUUUGACGGUUCAGAAAAUUUGAAUGCAUUUGCUGCAAAGGUGUUACUCCUUGACCCCCAUGUGUGAUGUUUACUUCCAAGAGAAUAAAAAAUAAAAAAGCAAACAAAACAACAACAACAAACUCAGGGCAAAAACAAUUAAACAUAAAUUUAACAAAGAAAUUGGAUUCUGCCAAGUUUGGUUGUCAAUUUUUAGAUUUAUGUGAAAGCAGCUGAUGAGUUUUUUUCAACUUCUGAAAGAUUAAAAAGAGAAAAGUUACUAAUUGGUUUCAAAUGAGUUCAUUACAGUCCACUGCUUUAGUUUUCCUUCCUCUUUAGUUGUUCUAGUUCAGUCGUUUCCACCUCCUCUUCGUCAUUAGCAGUCAGCAGCAGUUAUCUUCCUCAGACAAUGCUUCAUCUUUGCUUCAGGCUUUAAGCGGCUGCUUUGGCAGACGACCUUCACUCUGCAGCAGAGAUCCUAAUCGGCUGAGCCAAACGCACAGAGAGCUUUUCCCAGCCAGGCGGCAGGUAUAGUGGAGACUCUUCCUCCCAACAAACCGGAGCCUAUUUCCCUUAAUCUGCAUCUUCAUUGGCUUUAGAGUGAUGUGGAUCCUGGAGAUUGAAUUUCCCAGCCUCCAAAACACCUAGGGAUGUGUGGGUUUGUUUUUUUUCUUUUUUUGUCUUUGAACAAACUUAUUUUAUGUAACUUUAAAUCGAGCAUUUAAAUAUGUUACAAUUCACUUUUACUUCUUAAUCUUAAAGUAUUGUGACAGCCUACAAACAGGCCUUCACAGUUGGAAGAACUCAGCCUUCAUGGAGCUAUAAGUAUUCUCCAUGAAUCCUCCAAUCCAGUGACCCUGUAAACGGGCCACCGGACCUCCAUCUCCUCUUUUAGUCCUAAAGCUUUUUCAUUUAAGCUCCCUUUUAACUGAUAAUUGAUGCAUUAAUAACUAAUCACUUGAUAUAAAUAGAUGUGGGUGAGGCUUUAAUGCUGAAGUCGAGCUCAGUCGAGGCCCUUCGUGAGGCCCUGCAGCGCUGACCCCACAUCUGCUGCACCAGAAGUUGUGUGUAAUGGUGUGUGUCGUAGUGUGUGAGUGCAGGGCUUACGGCUGUGCUGACCCAGCAGCCUGCCAGGGUUCACAUCAGUAGAGAUGGAGCACUCUCUGCGCCCGUUUGGAGGAAAUGCACUUUGUAGAAGGUUUUACGGCAUCAGUUGGAAUAGUUUUGAUUCUGCCUUUUUACUUGUUGUUUCACUUGAAACUGCAUCAAACCAGAAUGAGAUAAGGAAUCCAGCAACAGCACACGGCGUUCGGAGAAUCAUCAGGCAAACAAAAACCUGACAUUACAGUCAAAGGAGCUUCUAAACAACAUCUGGGUGCAAUUAUGAGAGCAGCUUGCAGACACUAGUUCAGAAAAUAUUACAUUAUAAAAGUUCGUAUUUUUGAUCACAUAAUGUCAGUAAGACUUUAAAAAGAACUUAAUGCUCCAUUAUUUAACAGUAAUAUCUAUAAAAUAACGUAAAUAAUAAACUUUUAAGACCUCGUUUUUUUAAGUUUAUUCAACAUUUAUUUAAAAUUUAAAUUCAAAAGUUUUCUGAAAGGAUUUAAAACUUCUUUAUUAGUAGAGGAUUUGCUCAUAUUUGGAGCCAGUUGGUGUCAAACUUGAAAUCAUCAGGAAAUGAAGAGGAGAGUCAUCUCGCUCAGGGAUGAAGAGCAUGAAGUCCAGCUCUGAGGGCUGCAGAUCGAUCCGUGUCCUUCAUAUCAGGUGACUUCGCGCCUCCUGCGCUCGCGCCUCCAGCGCGCACGCGCCUCCUGUCAGGCGGCAAUGUCUCCGUCUUUGUUCCCACUUCUCCGUCCUCAUCCUUUCUUUCUGGAAGCACAACAGCGGCGGACUCGAUUCCACUGAACUCUUUCAUCCUAUCGGAGCGUCCGGGAAAAAACAGAUGGUUUAUUAGAAUCAUUAGUUUCCAUUUACAAAUAAAGAUAUUCUAGUUUUUCCCCGAUUUUCCAUCUUAAUUUUUGCCUACAUAAUUUAUUUCACCAUCGUUUUUUUCCUUUGAGC
Oryzias sinensis (Chinese medaka) is the source of this 2752-nucleotide long non-coding RNA. The record is from Ensembl. NCBI's taxonomy places the organism in Eukaryota, Metazoa, Chordata, Actinopteri, Beloniformes, Adrianichthyidae.